CGGGCCUUUGGCAGGCGCCCGGCCUCUUCGAAGACGGUCUCCGUCCAAGCGCUGC
RNAcentral lists this non-coding RNA (55 nucleotides) under uncultured Phenylobacterium sp. Its description in RNAcentral is "chrB-b RNA". It matches the Rfam family "chrB-b RNA". Lineage: Bacteria; Pseudomonadati; Pseudomonadota; Alphaproteobacteria; Caulobacterales; Caulobacteraceae. The record is from RNAcentral.